Molecule: ribosomal RNA, 495 nt
Filed under: uncultured bacterium
Lineage: Bacteria
Description: partial 16S ribosomal RNA
Rfam family: Bacterial small subunit ribosomal RNA
Source: RNAcentral
GAUGAACGCUGGCGGCGUGCCUAAUACAUGCAAGUCGAACGCUGACGGCGGAGCUUGCUCUUCUGGAUGAGUUGCGAACGGGUGAGUAACGCGUAGGUAACCUGCCUCGUAGCGGGGGAUAACUAUUGGAAACGAUAGCUAAUACCGCAUGACAACAGUUAUUGCAUGAUAACUGUUUAUAAGGGGCACCUGCUCCACUACCAGAUGGACCUGCGUUGUAUUAGCUAGUUGGUGAGGUAACGGCUCACCAAGGCGAGGAUACAUAGACGACCAGAGAGGGGGAGCGGCAAAGCUGGGACGGGGAGACGGCCCAGAAUACUACGGGAGGGAGCAGGAGGGGAUCCUUGGGAAUGGACGGAAGGCUGAACGAGGAACGCCGGGUGAGUGAAGAAGGUUGUCGGGUCGUAAAGGUCUGUUGUAAGAGAAGAACGAGAGUGAGAGUGGAAAGUUCACACUGUGACGGUACCUGACCAGAAAGGGACGGCUAACUACGUG